Molecule: ribosomal RNA, 524 nt
Filed under: uncultured bacterium
Lineage: Bacteria
Description: bacterial SSU rRNA
Rfam family: Bacterial small subunit ribosomal RNA
Source: RNAcentral
UGGGGAAUAUUGCACAAUGGGGGAAACCCUGAUGCAGCGACGCCGCGUGAGUGAAGAAGUAUUUCGGUAUGUAAAGCUCUAUCAGCAGGGAAGAAAAUGACGGUACCUGAGUAAGAAGCCCCGGCUAACUACGUGCCAGCAGCCGCGGUAAUACGUAGGGGGCAAGCGUUAUCCGGAUUUACUGGGUGUAAAGGGAGCGCAGACGGCUCUGCAAGUCUGAAGUGAAAGCCCGCGGCUUAACCGCGGGACUGCUUUGGAAACUGCAAGGCUUGAGUAUCGGAGGGGCAGGCGGAAUUCCUAGUGUAGCGGUGAAAUGCGUAGAUAUUAGGAAGAACACCGGUGGCGAAGGCGGCCUGCUGGACGAAAACUGACGUUGAGGCUCGAAGGCGUGGGGAGCAAACAGGAUUAGAUACCCUGGUAGUCCACGCGGUAAACGAUGAAUACUAGGUGUUGGUGCCCGAAGGGCAUCGGUGCCGUCGCAAACGCAAUAAGUAUUCCACCUGGGGAGUACGUUCGCAAGAAUG